UUUUGGGUCAACCUAAAAAAUAUGGUAUCUUUUUUUUUUCCAACUGAUAUUAUUAUAAUAAAGAAGAAAGCCCAAAAGGACCAAAUCCAAAACCAUUACAACUAAAACCCAAGACAUGCCCAAAUUCUAAAAUUCAACAAAAGGAACGAAAGUCCUAAACCCGGCCUAACAACAAAGCCCAAAAAAAAUGAGGCCACCGCCCCAAACACCAACGCAACGGCGCACGUGUUGAGACUUCAACUGCGAGGCACACAUGUCGCUAGAUCCCUUCUCCAACCUCCAUCGCCAGAGGAAACAUGCAACCCAACACCAGAAACCGUACCCGAUCUCA
This 331-nucleotide long non-coding RNA is filed under the name Brassica napus (rape). RNAcentral describes it as "long non-coding RNA (BNAP_LNC006491)". The record is from RNAcentral. Lineage: Eukaryota; Viridiplantae; Streptophyta; Magnoliopsida; Brassicales; Brassicaceae.